CCUCUGCUCAGAUUGAACGCUGGCGGCAGGCUUAACACAUGCAAGUCGAGCGGGGGAAGGUAGCUUGCUACCGGACCUAGCGGCGGACGGGUGAGUAAUGCUUAGGAAUCUGCCUAUUAGUGGGGGACAACAUCUCGAAAGGGAUGCUAAUACCGCAUACGUCCUACGGGAGAAAGCAGGGGAUCUUCGGACCUUGCGCUAAUAGAUGAGCCUAAGUCGGAUUAGCUAGUUGGUGGGGUAAAGGCCUACCAAGGCGACGAUCUGUAGCGGGUCUGAGAGGAUGAUCCGCCACACUGGGACUGAGACACGGCCCAGACUCCUACGGGAGGCAGCAGUGGGGAAUAUUGGACAAUGGGGGGAACCCUGAUCCAGCCAUGCCGCGUGUGUGAAGAAGGCCUUAUGGUUGUAAAGCACUUUAAGCGAGGAGGAGGCUACUUUAGUUAAUACCUAGAGAUAGUGGACGUUACUCGCAGAAUAAGCACCGGCUAACUCUGUGCCAGCAGCCGCGGUAAUACAGAGGGUGCGAGCGUUAAUCGGAUUUACUGGGCGUAAAGCGUGCGUAGGCGGCUUAUUAAGUCGGAUGUGAAAUCCCCGAGCUUAACUUGGGAAUUGCAUUCGAUACUGGUGAGCUAGAGUAUGGGAGAGGAUGGUAGAAUUCCAGGUGUAGCGGUGAAAUGCGUAGAGAUCUGGAGGAAUACCGAUGGCGAAGGCAGCCAUCUGGCCUAAUACUGACGCUGAGGUACGAAAGCAUGGGGAGCAAACAGGAUUAGAUACCCUGGUAGUCCAUGCCGUAAACGAUGUCUACUAGCCGUUGGGGCCUUUGAGGCUUUAGUGGCGCAGCUAACGCGAUAAGUAGACCGCCUGGAGACGACCUU
Molecule: ribosomal RNA, 875 nt
Filed under: Acinetobacter baumannii
Lineage: Bacteria; Pseudomonadati; Pseudomonadota; Gammaproteobacteria; Moraxellales; Moraxellaceae
Description: bacterial SSU rRNA
Rfam family: Bacterial small subunit ribosomal RNA
Source: RNAcentral